This 901-nucleotide ribosomal RNA is filed under the name Pezizomycetes sp. genotype 20. Its description in RNAcentral is "eukaryotic LSU rRNA". The stretch from base 397 to 901 matches the Rfam family "Eukaryotic large subunit ribosomal RNA", at positions 1 to 509 of the family's 3401-position model. The record is from RNAcentral. Lineage: Eukaryota; Fungi; Ascomycota; Pezizomycetes.
UCCUUACGGGAGGUAUACUAUUGAAACUCUUGCACUUCAAUGUCUUCUGUCUGAACUUGUUUACAGCAAACAUUAAAACUUUCAACAACGGAUCUCUUGGUUCUCGCAUCGAUGAAGAACGCAGCGAAAUGCGAUAAGUAGUGUGAAUUGCAGAAUUCAGUGAAUCAUCGAAUCUUUGAACGCACAUUGCGCCUCCUGGUAUUCCGGGAGGCAUGCCUGUUCGAGCGUCAUUAAAACCCACUCAAGCUCUUUUGCUUGGUCUUGGAGGUGGAGCACCGCAACGUCCUCCCCUCGGAAAUGCAAUGGCGGAGUCACUCGCGUUCCCCAGCGUAGUAAGUUUAUCUUUUCGCUUGGUGCCGGGUGCGUUCCAGCCCUCAACCCCCAAUCAUUUAGUGUUGACCUCGGAUCAGGUAGGGAUACCCGCUGAACUUAAGCAUAUCAAUAAGCGGAGGAAAAGAAACCAACAGGGAUUGCCUCAGUAACUGCGAGUGAAGCGGCAAAAGCUCAAAUUUGAAAUCUGGCGUCUUUGGCGUCCGAGUUGUAAUUUGGAGAGGCAUCUUCGGAGAUGGCGCUGUCCUAAGUUCCUUGGAACAGGACAUCACAGAGGGUGAGAAUCCCGUGCCUGGAUGGCUGUCCAUCUCCAUGUGAAGAGUCUUCGACGAGUCGAGUUGUUUGGGAAUGCAGCUCAAAAUGGGUGGUAAAUUUCAUCUAAAGCUAAAUAUUGGCGAGAGACCGAUAGCGCACAAGUAGAGUGAUCGAAAGAUGAAAAGCACUUUGAAAAGAGAGUUAAAAAGUACGUGAAAUUGUUGAAAGGGAAGCGCUUGAGACCAGACUCAAUCUUUGGUGAUCAGCUGUGCUUCUGCGCAGUGCACUUGCUAUUGAUUGGGCCAGCAUCGGUUCC